This 468-nucleotide ribosomal RNA is filed under the name uncultured bacterium. RNAcentral describes it as "partial 16S ribosomal RNA". It matches the Rfam family "Bacterial small subunit ribosomal RNA", at positions 28 to 507 of the family's 1533-position model. The record is from RNAcentral.
GACGAACGCUGGCGGCGUGCUUAACACAUGCAAGUCGAACGGAAAGGCCCUGCUUUUGUGGGGUGCUCGAGUGGCGAACGGGUGAGUAACACGUGAGUAACCUGCCCUUGACUUUGGGAUAACUUCAGGAAACUGGGGCUAAUACCGGAUAGGAGCUCCUGCUGCAUGGUGGGGGUUGGAAAAUUUCGGCGGUUGGGGAUGGACUCGCGGCUUAUCAGCUUGUUGGUGGGGUAGUGGCUUACCAAGGCUUUGACGGGUAGCCGGCCUAAGAGGGUGACCGGCCACAUUGGGACUGAGAUACGGCCCAGACUCCUACGGGAGGCAGCAGUGGGGAAUAUUGCACAAUGGGCGGAAGCCUGAUGCAGCAACGCCGCGUGCGGGAUGACGGCCUUCGGGUUGUAAACCGCUUUCGCCUGUGACGAAGCGUGAGUGACGGUAAUGGGUAAAGAAGCACCGGCUAACUACGUG